RNAcentral lists this ribosomal RNA (484 nucleotides) under uncultured bacterium. Its description in RNAcentral is "partial 16S ribosomal RNA". It matches the Rfam family "Bacterial small subunit ribosomal RNA", at positions 30 to 507 of the family's 1533-position model. The record is from RNAcentral.
AUUGAACGCUGGCGGCAGGCCUAACACAUGCAAGUCGAGCGGAUGAAGGGAGCUUGCUCCUGGAUUCAGCGGCGGACGGGUGAGUAAUGCCUAGGAAUCUGCCUGGUAGUGGGGGAUAACGUCCGGAAACGGGCGCUAAUACCGCAUACGUCCUGAGGGAGAAAGUGGGGGAUCUUCGGACCUCACGCUAUCAGAUGAGCCUAGGUCGGACGAGCUAGUUGGUGGGGUAAAGGCCUACCAAGGCGACGAUCCGUAACUGGUCUGAGAGGAUGAUCAGGCACACUCGAACUGAGACACGGUCCAGACUCCUACGGUACGCACCAGUGGGCAAUCUUGGACACUGGGCUCCCGCCUGAUCCCUCCAUGCCUCGUCUGUCAAGAAGGUCUUCGGAUUGUCAAGCACUUUAAGUUGGGAGGACGCGCACUAAGUUAAUACCUUGCUGUUUUGCCGUUACCACCCGAAUAAGCACCGGCUAACUUCCUG